UACUAGUGUUGGUUUGCUACUUGAUCCUAAGGCCAAGCCCCCUCGCGUGACGACCACGCUGGCCACCCGGCAAAAUGCGCCUCACUUGCUAGCACGUCUAGAUCAGCCCGGACGUAGGCAUGUGUAUCGUAUUUUGUCGGGUUUCGAGAUCAAGAAUCGAUGUCCCUUGUUGGUUGGUUUUCCGAGAAUCCUUGACCCUUGAUUUGUUACUUUCGCAUCGUUCGGUGCAUUCUGGGGGAUGUUUUGGCUUUUGGUGGCUUACUUGGCCUUUUGGCUGGGUUUGUUGCUAUUGGCCGGGCAGCUUUCGGGAAUGACGACCGUGGAGGUGCAUGAGUGGUGUUUGGUUUGUUACGUGUGGAUGGCUGUUUGCUUGCGCAACAACGUUCACGCUGCAUACCUCUUCAGUUUUGCGGCAAGGCUUUGUUUGGCUUGUCCAUAUUGUGGGUUUCCUGUGUUGCAUACCUAGUUGAUGGAAAAGUAUGGGUUUUACGAUUUUCAUUUUCGUCCUGCGUCGUUCUUUCGGCAUGGGAUGAGCAAUGAAGCGAUCUUUAUGAUCCACCGUGCUGUUGCGUUUGCAACAAUGAUGUGGCCUAUGAAGCAUCGUUUGGUCUCUUGUAUACGGAAGCUCAUUUGGGCUUGGGUCUUUAUAAGAUCUUCGUUAUGCCCUUGUUAAGCGUUCUCGCUUCUCCUAAACGAUUG
This 699-nucleotide unclassified non-coding RNA is filed under the name Centaurea cephalariifolia. RNAcentral's name for it is "partial external transcribed spacer". The record is from RNAcentral. Lineage: Eukaryota; Viridiplantae; Streptophyta; Magnoliopsida; Asterales; Asteraceae.